Molecule: small nuclear RNA, 193 nt
Organism: Artibeus jamaicensis (Jamaican fruit-eating bat)
Lineage: Eukaryota; Metazoa; Chordata; Mammalia; Chiroptera; Phyllostomidae
Product: U2 spliceosomal RNA
Exons: 1
Source: RefSeq, a predicted model, not a curated record
AUCGCUUCUUGGCCUUUUAGCUAAGAACAAGUGUAGUAUCUGUUCUUAUCACUUUAAAAUGGUUAUAAACACAAAAACUAAUUAAAUUCUGAAAACAGUAAUUCUAAGGCAAUUCCAGACAAAUGAAAAUGCAUGUAAUAAAUCUGGAGUUUUGUCCUGGUCAGGUAGCUGAGUUGGCUAGAGCAUCAUCCCA